GACGAACGCUGGCGGCGUGCUUAACACAUGCAAGUCGAACGGAAAGGCCCUGGUUUUGUGGGGUGCUCGAGUGGCGAACGGGUGAGUAACACGUGAGUAACCUGCCCUUGACUUUGGGAUAACUUCAGGAAACUGGGGCUAAUACCGGAUAGGAGCUCCUGCUGCAUGGUGGGGGUUGGAAAGUUUCGGCGGUUGGGGAUGGACUCGCGGCUUAUCAGCUUGUUGGUGGGGUAGUGGCUUACCAAGGCUUUGACGGGUAGCCGGCCUGAGAGGGUGACCGGCCACAUUGGGACUGAGAUACGGCCCAGACUCCUACGGGAGGCAGCAGUGGGGAAUAUUGCACAAUGGGCGGAAGCCUGAUGCAGCAACGCCGCGUGCGGGAUGACGGCCUUCGGGUUGUAAACCGCUUUCGCCUGUGACGAAGCGUGAGUGACGGUAAUGGGUAAAGAAGCACCGGCUAACUACGUA
RNAcentral lists this ribosomal RNA (468 nucleotides) under uncultured bacterium. RNAcentral's name for it is "partial 16S ribosomal RNA". It matches the Rfam family "Bacterial small subunit ribosomal RNA", at positions 28 to 507 of the family's 1533-position model. The record is from RNAcentral.